GAUGAACGCUGGCGGCGUGCCUAACACAUGCAAGUCGAGCGAACGCACGACCUACUUUGCUCGCUUGCGGGCGCGGGGCACGGGUGAGUGACAUGUGGCGAAACGACCUAUAUGGCGGGGAUAACUGUGGGAAACCUGACCUAAUACCGGAUAAUAUAUUGAAGCGCAAAGCUCAAUAGUGAAAGACGGUGUGGCAGUAACGUAUAGAUGGACCCGCGCCGCAUUAGCUAGUUGGUAAGGUAACGGCUUACCAAGGCAACGAUGCGUAGCCGACCUGAGAGGAUGAUCCGCCACACUGGAACUGAGACACGGCCCAGACUCCUACGGGAGGCAGCAGUAGGGAAUUUUGCACAAAGGGCGCAAGCCUGAUCCAGCCACGCCGCGUGAGUGAAGAAGGCCUUCGGGUUGUAAAGCUCUUUUAGUUGGGAAGAAAACGUGCCUACUUAUACAUGCUGGGGAUGACGGUACCUGCAGAGAAAGCCCCGGCUAACUACGUG
This 497-nucleotide ribosomal RNA is filed under the name uncultured bacterium. Its description in RNAcentral is "partial 16S ribosomal RNA". It matches the Rfam family "Bacterial small subunit ribosomal RNA", at positions 28 to 507 of the family's 1533-position model. The record is from RNAcentral.